GAAUUUUUUUUAAAUCUACCUUACUCAUUAACCCAAAUUAUUAUUAUUAUUUUAACCAGAGCUUAUUUGUGUGGGUUUCUCCCAUCAUCCCCAUAUAAUGUCACUUAUUUGUGUUUUAGUGGAAGAAAUGAAGAAAAAACAACCAAAUGCGGCACUCUCAUUUCACAAAUGAUGGACCAAUCAUUCCCACUAUGCAGACAAGAAAUUGUAAAAACCAAGGGCCUGCUAUACAGAACAUGGUUGAACGAUGGCCAGCACUUUUCACAGAAAGACAGGUGUUUGCUGAGUUUAAUAGAAUCGCCAGUAAGAAUCUUGAGGGAGACUUGAGGCUUUGGACCAGUAUGCCCCACGUUUCAUCGAACUUUUCAAAACAAAAAGGGAACUGUUGGCUAGAAACUCAAGGAGCUGAUGCAGCACAUGAGCUGGCUGACACCAGGCUCUAGAAUGCAUCACUGUUGGUGUCCUACCGGGUUUGUCAGUGAAGAUAGUCCUCACGAGGGUCAAAGCUUAGUGGUCCUCCAGCCCAUCUCCACUGCCAUCAUUCUGGAGGGAGGUAUUGUUAUGGAUAAUGUUAAGGACUUGCCUCAAGUCUUUUGUUUGGGCUUACCCAAAAUGCAUGGCAAAUACACUCAACUUUAUUUAGACUGUGAUGCUUGGACUGGGAAAGAAAAACCUCCCAUCAAAACGGUUGACUCUGAAUAACAGUCUUCUGGGUUAAAGAGCUGUCCGAUAGAACUUUGUAAGCUUUGCAGCCAUUAAUGUUCUCCUGUUAUUAGAUACAGUUUGAUGCUUUCAUGCAACUGUAUUUGCUUCUGAUCUUAAUAAAAAUAAGAAAUUCCAUUAAAGUCUGUAAUGAUAUCCAGGUAUGCUAAAGUUGGAAAUAGAGCCACAGUGUUUUAUUAAGAGUUGUUAGUUGUUAUUAGAUGAUAAUGUCAGAAAAUAACCUACCACGGUUGUCCUGUCUACAUUUGUGUUUUAGGAAAGCUUUUUAUAGUUGAAUGUCGUACAAAUACAAACCCCAAGGAGUGAUGUUUUUGUUUGUUGCUUUAAUCCUUUCACUGCUCACUUUGGGACACAAAAGCAUUUGUUGUACUUUCAGUUAAAAAUGCAAUUUUUAACUGAAUGCAAUUUUUUAAUGUAAAAAAGUUACAUUUUAACUGUCUACAGUUAAAUCAACCACAACUUUGUUUAGCUGCUGUUAUGUACAUAAAUGUGCAUUGAAUAAAUGUUGUAAUGUAGCUGAAUCAAGUGAGUGUUCUUUUAAAUUAUAUGUUUGGGAUGUGUUUAUUAGAUCGUAACAACAAAACAAGGACCCA
This is a non-coding RNA of Paramisgurnus dabryanus, 1316 nucleotides long. Lineage: Eukaryota; Metazoa; Chordata; Actinopteri; Cypriniformes; Cobitidae. The record is from RefSeq and is a predicted model, not a curated record.